UUUGCAAAGUAUAUCCAAGUCGA
Molecule: microRNA, 23 nt
Filed under: Strongyloides ratti
Lineage: Eukaryota; Metazoa; Nematoda; Chromadorea; Rhabditida; Strongyloididae
Description: str-miR-8385-5p
Source: miRBase by way of RNAcentral